RNAcentral lists this ribosomal RNA (419 nucleotides) under uncultured Prevotella sp. RNAcentral's name for it is "bacterial SSU rRNA". It matches the Rfam family "Bacterial small subunit ribosomal RNA", at positions 358 to 774 of the family's 1533-position model. The record is from RNAcentral. Lineage: Bacteria; Pseudomonadati; Bacteroidota; Bacteroidia; Bacteroidales; Prevotellaceae.
GGAAUAUUGGUCAAUGGGCGAGAGCCUGAACCAGCCAAGUAGCGUGCAGGAUGACGGCCCUAUGGGUUGUAAACUGCUUUUAUGCGGGGAUAAAGUGCACCACGUGUGGUGUUUUGUAGGUACCGCAUGAAUAAGGACCGGCUAAUUCCGUGCCAGCAGCCGCGGUAAUACGGAAGGUCCGGGCGUUAUCCGGAUUUAUUGGGUUUAAAGGGAGCGCAGGCUGAAGAUUAAGCGUGACGUGAAAUGUCCCGGCUCAACCGUGGAACUGCGUCGCGAACUGGUUUUCUUGAGUGAGUACGACGUCAGCGGAAUUUGUGGUGUAGCGGUGAAAUGCUUAGAUAUCACGAAGAACCCCGAUUGCGAAGGCAGCCAACAAGGCCUUUACUGACGCUAAAGCUCGAAGGUGCGGGUAUCGAACA